Molecule: ribosomal RNA, 345 nt
Filed under: uncultured bacterium
Lineage: Bacteria
Description: bacterial SSU rRNA
Rfam family: Bacterial small subunit ribosomal RNA
Source: RNAcentral
ACUCCUACGGGAGGCAGCAGUGGGGAAUAUUGCACAAUGGGCGCAAGCCUGAUGCAGCCAUGCCGCGUGUGUGAAGAAGGCCUUCGGGUUGUAAAGCACUUUCAGUUGUGAGGAAGGUGGUGGUCGUUAAUAGCGGCAUCAUUUGAUCGUUAUGCAACAGAAGAAGCACCGGCUAACGUCCGUGCCCAGCAGCCGCGGUAAUACGGAGGGUGCGAUCGUUAAUCGGAAUUACUGGGCGUAAAGCGCAUGCAGGUGGUUUGUUAAGUCAGAUUGUGAAAGCCCGGGGCUCAACCUCGGAAACUGCAUUUGAAACUGGCAGACUAGAGUACUGUAGAGGGGGUAGAA